GGUACGAAUAAGGUUUCAUAUUUUUAUGUCACGGUCUCAAACAAUUCAAGAUCUCAUCCAAAAUAUUUUUAUAAAAAUAUAUUAUUUAAAUUUUUUGAUCCAUAUAAAUAUCCAGAUAGUUUAGAUAAAUGCUCAAGAUCUUUCUAUUACAUAAGUAUCACUAUGAGACUAAAUACAUGUCCAUUUGUAUCUUCAUGUAUUCUUUUGUUUAAG
RNAcentral lists this long non-coding RNA (213 nucleotides) under Elaeis guineensis (African oil palm). Its description in RNAcentral is "long non-coding RNA (EGUI_LNC015745)". The record is from RNAcentral. Lineage: Eukaryota; Viridiplantae; Streptophyta; Magnoliopsida; Arecales; Arecaceae.